AAAAACAUCGCCUCCUGAAAAAAUAGGAGGUCCAGCCUGCCCAGUGACCAAGUUAAACGGCCGCGGUACCCUAACCGUGCGAAGGUAGCGCAAUCACUUGUUCUUUAAAUGAGGACUAGUAUGAACGGCAUCACGAGGGUCUCACUGUCUCCCCCCUCUAAUCAGUGAAACUGAUCUCCCCGUGAAGAAGCGGGGAUAAACCUAUAAGACGAGAAGACCCCAUGGAGCUUUAAACUCAAUUUCAACUACCAUCUAUAAACCACAAAAAACAGGUAGCCAUGACUAUUAGUUUUCGGUUGGGGUGACCACGGAGCAAAAUACAACCUCCAUGACGAAUGACUCUUUACCUCUAAUCAUAGAGUAACAACUCAAAGAAUCAAUAAAUUGACCCACUUGACCCAAAUUUUUGAUCAACGAACCAAGUUACCCUGGGGAUAACAGCGCAAUCCAUUUCAAGAGCCCCUAUCGACAAAUGGGUUUACGACCUCGAUGUUGGAUCAGGGUAUCCUAGUGGUGCAGCCGCUACUAAAGGUUCGUUUGUUCAACGAUUAAAACCCUACGUGAUCUGAGUUCA
Molecule: ribosomal RNA, 574 nt
Filed under: Hamptophryne boliviana
Lineage: Eukaryota; Metazoa; Chordata; Amphibia; Anura; Microhylidae
Description: partial 16S ribosomal RNA
Rfam family: Bacterial large subunit ribosomal RNA
Source: RNAcentral